Molecule: ribosomal RNA, 492 nt
Filed under: uncultured bacterium
Lineage: Bacteria
Description: partial 16S ribosomal RNA
Rfam family: Bacterial small subunit ribosomal RNA
Source: RNAcentral
AGUGAACGCUGGCGGUAGGCCUAACACAUGCAAGUCGAACGGCAGCACAGUAAGAGCUUGCUCUUACGGGUGGCGAGUGGCGGACGGGUGAGGAAUACAUCGGAAUCUACUUUUUCGUGGGGGAUAACGUAGGGAAACUUACGCUAAUACCGCAUACGACCUACGGGUGAAAGCAGGGGAUCUUCGGACCUUGCGCGAUUGAAUGAGCCGAUGUCGGAUUAGCUAGUUGGCGGGGUAAAGGCCCACCAAGGCGACGAUCCGUAGCUGGUCUGAGAGGAUGAUCAGCCACACUGGAACUGAGACACGGUCCAGACGACUACGGGAGGCAGCAGUGGGGAAUAGUGGACAAUGGGCGCAAGCAUGAUCCAGCCAUACCGCGUGGGUGAAGAAGGCCUUCGGGUUGUAAAGCCCUUUUGUUGGGAAAGAAAAGCAGCAGGUUAAUACCCAGCUGUUCUGACGGUACCCAAAGAAUAAGCACCGGCUAACUUCGUG